This 1171-nucleotide long non-coding RNA is filed under the name Salmo salar (Atlantic salmon). RNAcentral describes it as "lncRNA (ENSSSAG00000113601.1)". The record is from RNAcentral. Lineage: Eukaryota; Metazoa; Chordata; Actinopteri; Salmoniformes; Salmonidae.
UGUGGUGUGUGUGUGUGUGUGUGUUGUGUGUGUGUGUGUGUGUGUGUGUGUUGUCGGUGUGUGUGUGUGUGUGUGUCGUGUGUGUGUGUGUGUGUUGUCGGUGUGUGUGUGUGUGUGUGUUGUGUGUGUGUGUGUGUGUGUGUGUGUGUGUGUGUGUUGUGUGUGUGUGUGUGUGUGUGUGUGUGUGUGUGUGUGUGUGUGUGUGUGUUGUCGGUGUGUGUGUGUGUGUGUUGUCGGUGUGUGUGUGUGUGUGUGUGUUGUGUGUGUGUGUGUUGUCUGUGUGUGUGUGUGUGUGUGUUGUCGGUGUGUGUGUGUGUGUGUGUGUGUGUGUGUGUGUGUGUGUUGUCUGUGUGUGUGUGUGUGUGUGUGUGUUGUGUGUGUGUGUGUGUGUUGUGUGUGUGUGUGUGUGUGUGUGUGUGUGUGUGUGUGUGUGUUGUCGGUGUGUGUGUGUGUGUGUUGUCGGUGUGUGUGUGUGUGUGUGUGUGUGUGUGUGUGUGUGUGUGUGUUGUCGGUGUGUGUGUGUGUGUGUGUGUGUGUGUGUGUGUGUGUGUGUUGUGUGUGUGUGUUGUCGGUGUGUGUGUGUGUGUGUGUGUGGUGUGUGUGUGUGUGUGUGUGUGUGUGUGUGUGUUGUCGGGUGUGUGUGUGUGUGUUGUCGGUGUGUGUGUGUGUGUGUGUGUGUUGUGUGUGUGUGUGUGUGUGUGUUUUGUCCGUGUGUGUGUGUGUGUGUCUGUGUGUGUGUGUGUGUUGUCGGUGUGUGUGUGUGUGUGUGUUGUCGGUGUGUGUGUGUGUUGUCUGUGUGUGUGUGUUGUCGGUGUGUGUGUGUGUGUUGUCGGUGUGUGUGUGUGUGUUGUCGGUGUGUGUGUGUGUGUGUGUGUGUGUGUGUGUGUGUGUGUGUGUUGUCGUGUGUGUGUGUGUGUGUGUGUGUGUGUGUGUGUGUGUGUGUGUGUGUGUGUGUGUUGUCGGUGUGUGUGUGUGUGUUGUGUGUGUGUGUGUGUGUGUGUGUGUGUGUUCGGUGUGUGUGUGUGUGUGUGUUGUGUGUGUGUGUGUGUGUGUUGUCUGUGUGUGUGUGUGUGUGUUGUCGUGUGUGUGUGUGUGUGUGUGUGUGUUGUGUGUGUGUGUGUGUGUGUGUGUGUGUGUGUGUGUGUUGUCGGUGUGUGUGUGUGUGUGUGUG